AGAAAGGGAGAUAAGAAAGUCUCCCAUAGAAGAAAAAGUGAAGAAGAAGAGAAGAAAUCAAAUGGGAGAAAAUGAAGAUGGAAGCUCUCUUGAAAUGGAGAUUUAAUAUUCAAGAAGAGGUUGUGAAAGCAUGGUAAAGUAAAGCAAAUGGUGGAAUGGCAUGUGGGAGGAUGGAAAGAAGAUUCAAGUGCAUGUUAUGGCCUAUGGAAGCCUAUGUUGUUAUGUUUGAUUUAUGAGAUGUAAACUUGUUUGGUUGGUGAUGGCUUAUUCAAGCCUAAGAUCAUGUAUGUAAUUUAUAUUUUAGGAUGUUUGAUUUUAUUGUGAAAUGAGGCAUUGGCUUAAGGCAUAUUGAAGCCUAGGUUGGGUGAAAGCCUCA
Diospyros lotus (date-plum) is the source of this 376-nucleotide long non-coding RNA. RefSeq lists it as uncharacterized. The transcript is spliced from 3 exons. Lineage: Eukaryota; Viridiplantae; Streptophyta; Magnoliopsida; Ericales; Ebenaceae. The record is from RefSeq and is a predicted model, not a curated record.